This 85-nucleotide transfer RNA is filed under the name Thermoproteota archaeon. Its description in RNAcentral is "tRNA-Leu". It matches the Rfam family "tRNA". From Rfam's summary of the family: Transfer RNA (tRNA) molecules are approximately 80 nucleotides in length. Their secondary structure includes four short double-helical elements and three loops (D, anti-codon, and T loops). The record is from RNAcentral. RNAcentral also lists the same sequence under 1 other name. Lineage: Archaea; Thermoproteati; Thermoproteota.
GCGGGGGUUGUAGAGCCUGGCCAAAUACGCGGGACUUAAGAUCCCGUCUCUCAGGGGUUCGUGGGUUCAAAUCCCACCUCCCGCA